GACGAACGCUGGCGGCGUGCCUAACACAUGCAAGUCGAGCGGGGUGGUUCUGAAGGGCAACCGGAGGGAUCACCUAGCGGCGAACGGGUGAGUAACGCGUGGAUAACCUACCUCAAGGUCUGGGAUAACAGCUCGAAAGGGCUGCUAAUACCGGAUGUGGUGCAUAUGCUGCAUGGUAGAUGCACUAAAGGGGAAACCCGCCAUGAGAUGGGUCCGCGUCCCAUCAGCUAGUUGGUGGGGUAAAGGCCUACCAAGGCGACGACGGGUAGCCGGCCUGAGAGGGUGACCGGCCACACUGGGACUGAGACACGGCCCAGACUCCUACGGGGGGCAGCAGUGGGGAAUAUUGCACAAUGGGCGAAAGCCUGAUGCAGCGACGCCGCGUGGGCGAAGAAGGCCUUCGGGUUGUAAAGCCCUGUCUGGAGGGACGAAGUAAUGACGGUACCUCCGGAGGAAGCCACGGCUAACUACGUG
This 474-nucleotide ribosomal RNA is filed under the name uncultured bacterium. RNAcentral describes it as "bacterial SSU rRNA". It matches the Rfam family "Bacterial small subunit ribosomal RNA", at positions 28 to 507 of the family's 1533-position model. The record is from RNAcentral. RNAcentral also lists the same sequence under 1 other name.